Molecule: long non-coding RNA, 255 nt
Organism: Mytilus californianus (California mussel)
Lineage: Eukaryota; Metazoa; Mollusca; Bivalvia; Mytilida; Mytilidae
Exons: 2
Source: RefSeq, a predicted model, not a curated record
AGAGUUCGACGACAUACAGUUGAUGAAAUAAAUCAUCCACUGGUUCACACUUCUGUGAUGGGAAAUAGGAUACAGUGAGAAAAUAGUAGGAGUUUUGUCAGGAUACAGAGAGAAAAUGAAAAGGCUUCAUACAGACGUUUCCCAGUUACUUAGCAAUUAAUCUACACGAGUCGCGCAGAAAAUGGAUGAAAUGCAAAUAUGCAUAGAUCACCAAUUUUAGAUUCAGGAAUUAAAAAGUUCCCGAUUUCAUUUUAA